CGUCUCGCUUGUUCUCCUCCUUCUCCUCCUUCCUCAACACGCUCCUUCUCCUCUUCUUUUGUAUAAGCCUUGAUCGAGCUUAUUUAAGUGUUAUUUUCUCUCGAGAGCUCUUUUCCGAUCUGGUGCCCUGCUAUCGGAACCCUUUCGCUUUAACGCACCGCUCUCCUCCUCGGCUAGGGCUCCGGCGAUCCGGAGAUCUCCGUCUCGAUCUCCGCCGGCGUCUCCCUCGUCGGGUCCCCGUUCCUUCUACCGAUCGGAUAUCGGCUUGCUGUCUUAAUCGCCGGCUUGAUCGCUAGCUUGCCGUCGGAGAAAAGCUCGUCGGCGGGCGAUCGAGGUCGCGCUCCUCUACUUCCUGGUUACUGGUAUUAGUGAAAAAACUGCCAGCAGCUUUUUGGGCACCUGAGAGUCAAGAAAUUGCAUAGAAAGCACCAGCAGCUUUGGAGCACAAGCUUGCAAAAGGAGAUUUUUGGAGCAAGAACUUGCUGAAGAAGAAAUUUAAGGUUUAACACCCAUUUAUAAUUUACUAUGAUUAAAUCUUGAUGCUGCAUGUAUUUACUUAUUGAUGCAAAGCUAGUUUAUAUAUGAAAACUUAACACUCUUUUUUGAGUGAGAGAAAUUCUCCAGAUUUUUGAGUGGCUGAAAAGAUGAGUGUUUCUUAUGGGAAUAACUUUGAGGUGCCGUCCCUAUUCCGGGUUUUGUGAAUGUAUACUUUUUCUCCAGAUUUUUGGUUCUCUGCCAUAACAUGGUAUGACUUUUAACAAUGUGCGGUGAAAUUCUUACAAAUUCUAGCUUUUAAAGGUUAUGUUUUCCUCUUUGGAGUUUCAGUUAAUUUUCGGCCAUUGCAGCAAUUUCAAUGAAUAUUUUUUUAUUCUUUUUCCUCCCUUCUGGGAUCUGUGCAUGUCAGACUGAUUCAUUUUUUUUUUUCCAAAGCAGAGCUUUCUAUAUCAGUUGUGCAAAGGAGUUGCCCAUUGUCAUAGCCAUGGUGUGCUUCACAGGGAUUUGAAACCUCAAAAUCUUUUGGUUGACAAAGAGAAAGGCAUCUUGAAGAUUGCUGAUCUUGGGCUAGGAAGAACCUUUACCAUCCCUCUUAAGAGCUACACCCACGAGAUUGUCACACUUUGGUAUAGAGCUCCUGAGGUUCUGCUGGGAACCACACACUACUCAACUGGAGUUGAUAUGUGGUCAGUUGGAUGAAUAUUUGGAUGAAUAUGUGGUCAACAUCUCCCCGGAAUCAUCGUCUGUCGGGGAGUCAAUUUGCUCUCUUCAUUUUGCUGCAAGGGUUAAUUCAUGUGAGAUUGGGAUUCCCGUCGCCAGACCUAGAUGCGUCCUUCAGACUCGCGCUUGAGCUAUGGUUAAGCAACCUGGCAACUACUGUGCAUCCUCUUGCUCCAUAUGAUUACCCGUUGCUGCAGCCGUUAUGGCAUAUUUAAUGACUAUUAGGCUUCUAACAUUGUCUGUCUGUAACCAAUACCAAGGAAAUGAAAUCAAUGUUGUGUUGUUGUUGAAUUUGUAGAGGGAAGGCAUUAUGUUGAUUGUGGUAAUAUUCGUAUCAAAAUUCCUUCUCACUGACGUUAUCUCUCUUAUAAUUGAAUCAAAUUUUUACAUGAACGAUUCCAAAAUCAA
Molecule: non-coding RNA, 1623 nt
Organism: Phoenix dactylifera (date palm)
Lineage: Eukaryota; Viridiplantae; Streptophyta; Magnoliopsida; Arecales; Arecaceae
Source: RefSeq, a predicted model, not a curated record